AUGUUCCCGGUGAAGCUGUUAUUGCUGGCGUUGAGUGCAAUCAGAUUUUUCAUCACCUUCCAUGUGGCUGAUGGAAAUUUUGAGCUGAACUGGUUGCUUGAGAUGGUGAGUACCUGCAGAGGCCGGUUGGUGGUAACCAAGUACGGCAGGUUGGGCAGCGGUCCGUUGAGCUGGUUGAAGCUGACGUCAAGGAUGAUGAUGCUUCCGGAGGACAUGAGCUCUGGCAAAAGGCCACCAGAGAAGGAGUUGUACGAGAGAUUGACAUGUAGCAGGCUGGUGAGGUCGGCCAGGGAUGGCGAGAUGCACCCUUCAAGUCCUUUAGAUCCCAGGGAGACCUCAGUAACGGCCCCAUCUUCAUUGCAGAUGACGCCUUCCCACUUGCAGCAGUUCGUCCCGUUGUCGCGCCAUGACGUGGCGAGGCCGCCAUCUCGCGACAGCCCGGCUAGGAACUGGAGCAGAUUAUGCUUCUCCUGCUCGGUGCAUGCGGUGGCGGGAGAGGCCAAGAUGUGCAGCACAACUGGAGGAACGGUGAUGGAAGGCAUUGACCGGUGUUUGUUCUCCUCCUUGUUUUUCUGUUGCUUGAAGAAUGCACACAGUGCUGGUACUAGCUAUCAUUUAACAGGGGCUUUUAUUUGCACAUCAGAGCUACUGAACACCAUUCAUAAGAUUCCUUAUUUCAUGUCAUGGGUGCAGCUUAGUGUCCUGGGCCACAGUCGGUUGGUGCACAAAUGCAAUCAAUCAGCUAUCUCCUCGCCCCUUGAAGUUAUGUUUACGUGGUUGAAGAAUAUAUUUGAGAGUGAUGUUAAUUACACCAGGGGUGAUACGGGCGGAACCCUAAAACUGCCGCUAGCGUCUCCCCUUCGCCGCCGCCGGAGGAUGCAGCCGGGCUAA
RNAcentral lists this ribosomal RNA (891 nucleotides) under Triticum aestivum (bread wheat). Its description in RNAcentral is "partial small subunit ribosomal RNA". Lineage: Eukaryota; Viridiplantae; Streptophyta; Magnoliopsida; Poales; Poaceae. The record is from RNAcentral.